RNAcentral lists this ribosomal RNA (465 nucleotides) under Vreelandella stevensii. RNAcentral's name for it is "partial 16S ribosomal RNA". It matches the Rfam family "Bacterial small subunit ribosomal RNA", at positions 338 to 795 of the family's 1533-position model. Lineage: Bacteria; Pseudomonadati; Pseudomonadota; Gammaproteobacteria; Oceanospirillales; Halomonadaceae. The record is from RNAcentral.
CCUACGGGUGGCAGCAGUGGGGAAUAUUGGACAAUGGGGGGAACCCUGAUCCAGCCAUGCCGCGUGUGUGAAGAAGGCCCUCGGGUUGUAAAGCACUUUCAGUGAGGAAGAACGCCUGGUGGUUAAUACCCAUCAGGAAAGACAUCACUCACAGAAGAAGCACCGGCUAACUCCGUGCCAGCAGCCGCGGUAAUACGGAGGGUGCGAGCGUUAAUCGGAAUUACUGGGCGUAAAGCGCGCGUAGGUGGCUUGAUAAGCCGGUUGUGAAAGCCCCGGGCUCAACCUGGGAACGGCAUCCGGAACUGUCAAGCUAGAGUGCAGGAGAGGAAGGUAGAAUUCCCGGUGUAGCGGUGAAAUGCGUAGAGCUCGGGAGGAAUACCAGUGGCGAAGGCGGCCUUCUGGACUGACACUGACACUGAGGUGCGAAAGCGUGGGUAGCAGACAGGAUUAGAUACCAUUGUAGUC